GCCCUUUCGCUGCGGCUCGCUUCACCCUAUAUUGGGAGCGUUCCGCAAGGAACUAUGGUGAUAAACGCGCCCGUAAUAAGCGGAUCGGACCCGGGGGCGGUACCCGGCGGCUCCACCAGAACCCUCGUUGGGGGACCAUGGGGCCGAAACAGGAUCGACGGACGUCUAAAGGGGUUAGCUUUCACCCGGCACGAUGCCACCGUUAUCGGCUCAAAUCGCAUAGUUGCCAACGACAACUACGCUCCGGUGCGUCUCGCCGCGUAAUGCGGUGAGGUUUACCGAAACCUGAAGCCCAGGGCCCUAGCAGGUCCUGGCGGGGUCCGCAGGCACCUGGCAACAGAAGCCUGCACC
RNAcentral lists this transfer-messenger RNA (351 nucleotides) under Amaricoccus sp. It matches the Rfam family "Alphaproteobacteria transfer-messenger RNA". Rfam says of the family: Bacterial tmRNA, also known as 10Sa RNA or SsrA, is named for its dual tRNA and mRNA-like properties. Its role is to liberate the mRNA from a stalled ribosome. The record is from RNAcentral. Lineage: Bacteria; Pseudomonadati; Pseudomonadota; Alphaproteobacteria; Rhodobacterales; Paracoccaceae. RNAcentral also lists the same sequence under 1 other name.